UACGUAGGGUGCGAGCGUUAAUCGGAAUUACUGGGCGUAAAGCGUGCGCAGGCGGUUCGUUGUGUCGGUGGUGAAAUCCCCGGGCUUAACCUGGGAAUGGCCAUGGAAACUGGCGAACUGGAGUGCGGCAGAGGGGGGUGGAAUUCCUGGUGUAGCGGUGAAAUGCGCAGAUAUCAGGAGGAACACCGAUGGCGAAGGCAGGUCUCUGGGCCACUACUGACGCUGAGAAGCGAAAGCAUGGGGAGCGAACAGG
RNAcentral lists this ribosomal RNA (253 nucleotides) under uncultured bacterium. Its description in RNAcentral is "partial 16S ribosomal RNA". It matches the Rfam family "Bacterial small subunit ribosomal RNA", at positions 524 to 776 of the family's 1533-position model. The record is from RNAcentral.